RNAcentral lists this ribosomal RNA (506 nucleotides) under uncultured bacterium. RNAcentral's name for it is "partial 16S ribosomal RNA". It matches the Rfam family "Bacterial small subunit ribosomal RNA", at positions 28 to 523 of the family's 1533-position model. The record is from RNAcentral.
GAUGAACGCUAGCUACAGGCUUAACACAUGCAAGUCGAGGGGUAACGAGAGGAAAGCUUGCUUUCCUUGUUGACGACCGGCGCACGGGUGAGUAACGCGUAUCCAACCUGCCCCCAACUAGGGAAUAACCUUGCGAAAGUAAGACUAAUACCCUAUAAUUUCCUCAGAUGUCAUCUGACGAGGAAUAAAGAUUUAUCGGUUGUGGAUGGGGAUGCGUCUGAUUAGCUUGUUGACGGGGUAACGGCCCACCAAGGCAACGAUCAGUAGGGGUCCUGAGAUGAAGGUCCCCCACAGUGGAACUGAGACACGGUCCAAACUCCUACGGGAGGCAGCAGUGAGGAAUAUUGGUCAAUGGGCGGAAGCCUGAACCAGCCAAGUAGCGUGCAGGAUGACGGCCCUAUGGGUUGUAAACUGCUUUUAUACAGGAAUAAAGUUAGCCACGUGUGGUUAUUUGUAGGUACUGUAUGAAUAAGGACCGGCUAAUUCCGUGCCAGCAGCCGCGGUAA